Molecule: ribosomal RNA, 491 nt
Filed under: uncultured bacterium
Lineage: Bacteria
Description: bacterial SSU rRNA
Rfam family: Bacterial small subunit ribosomal RNA
Source: RNAcentral
GACGAACGCUGGCGGCGUGCCUGACACAUGCAAGUCGGACGGUUCUUGUAUCUUCAAGCUUGCUUGCAGGUGCAAGGAUAGUGGCGGACGGGUGAGUAACGCGUGAACAUCUACCCAUUGGAGGGGGACAACCCGUCGAAAGGCGGGCUAAUACCGCGUAAGCCGCGAGGUGAGAGGCUGCCUAUUGGUGGCCGCCGAUGGAUGGGUUCGCGUCCUAUCAGCUGGUUGGUGGGGUAACGGCCUACCAAGGCGAAGACGGGUAGCCGGUCUGAGAGGAUGGCCGGCCACACUGGAACUGAGACACGGUCCAGACUCCUACGGGAGGCAGCAGUGGGGAAUAUUGGGCAAUGGGGGAGACCCUGACCCAGCGACGCCGCGUGAGGGACGAAGGUUUUCGGGUUGUAAAGCACUUUUAUCGGGAACGAAACAUUGUCGGUGAAUAUCCGGCAAGACUGACGGUACCCGAGGAAUAAGCACCGGCUAACUUCGUG